GGUCCUGAGCGUUCACCUGCAAGGCAGCCGCGGGGAAGCCGACAGUUCCACUGCCCUCCGGGGGGUGUGUGUGUGUUGAGGGGGUUUCCCCCGUGUGUGACAGGGAGCUCCCGCAGUGGUCUGAGCCGCCAUCCCGGGCUACCCGCUCUGGGAAUAGACGCGCUCGUUUCCAUUGAAAACGUUCGAGAAGUUACAAUUCAAGGUUAGCCUGAAUGUCGGCGUCUACCCAUGUACACUACAGGUGAAACCAGAUCGUCCUCUGUACUGGUUCUGUGGUUUGACACCGUCUGGAAGGACUGAAGCAAGGACUGUGCUAAGCAAGAAGCAUAUCAGGUGUCUGAGCUAAAUGUUUCAUGACUACAAAUAAUGUCAUAAAGAGACAUGGAAAUACUGGUAAGGCUUUUGUUGGUAUUCCAGGAACUAGAACUGAAAAGAAUUUAAAUUAGUUCCAUGCUAAUGGACCAGGGAUACACCUCCAGCAAGCCUGCCACCAUGCUCAUAUUACUACAGAGGUUGUGGAGCUGCAGAUACAAAAGUGUAUUCAUGAACAGUGGAUACUCAUAGUGUGGAUAUGGCAAACACUGGAUUCACAAUCAUGUAAACUUAGACGCAGCUUCAGUCUGUAGUUAAAUGUCUGCAAAGAGCUGAAAUUAUUUCUUGACGUGCUUCCCUCGGGCUCAGAAGAGCUCUUUACAGUGAUCUUUUGUGUAAAUCUUGAUGUGCUCUGAAAACAUGAUAGCUUCCUUUACACAAUUACAGUCUGCAGUGUAAAAGCCUGUCCUUACAAGCUUUAAAUACAACAUGUUAUCUACGGUUAACUUAGCUUAAGACACUUGGAGCUCCUGUUCAAAAAAUAUCUGAGUUCUGUAGAACUUUUUUACGUAUUUAUCAUCAUAACGUCUCUUUGACACUGUAACUCCAUUAUUUUUAUAAAUGGGAAACUGAGGCACUGGGAGACCAAGUGAUUAGAGUUGCACAAGUGAUCUCUGGUGGGGCAGAUGGUUGCAGCCAGCUCACUCUAAUCUCCAAAGCAUGCCCAGAUACUGACACUGUAUUUUUCUCCUUUUUAAACUCUUGUUUUCCUUAAUGACUCUGCAGCUGAAACGCUCUUUGAAUUCCAAGAUUUAUUCUCUAAAACAGCCACAGUCAGAUGCUUGAGGCCACGAGAAAAAGAAGGAACGUUGAGGAAGGCAUUCUUUUCUUCAAAAUGUAACCUCUGGACCUCUAAAAUCUUGGAUGAUGGAAGAAACGACUUGGUGACCAGUUUGUAUUAUGUCCUUUUGUACCGUAGCCAUGCUUGGUGGCAUCUUGCUCUCUUUUUCUGAAGACAUAUUCCAGGAAAGAAAGUUGUGCAAUCUCUGUGGAAACUAUUCCUCACACCACUCCCUAAUAAAUCUGCUUUAGCAGAUUUGGAUUCCUGUCCCUGUGUGCAACAAGUCUGUUGAGGUGCACCCUUGUGCAGUCAUUAUCAGCAUGCUUAAAGGAAAGGGGUAGGAAUCUGUUGUCUUCUUUCAUAAGCCAUGUCUUCAUCAAUAACCAUUUCCAUUUAUGUAAGGAGCUGGAUUCUGAGGUAGUACACACCAUGAGUGUUUCCAAGUAAAUACAAUUCCAACACCCAAAGCUUGAAAGGCCAAACACACAACAGCAGGCAGAUAGCAAUCUUGCAGCUGCUGCUCUCCUUGCCACUCAGUGAUUAGUGAUUUUCCAUUGUUGCCAGGAUCUCUUUUCUAAUUCCCAAGCUUUUUCCCUCAUUUAGUCUUUUCUGAACCUUUAGUGUCUUCCCCAACUUUUUUUCCAUCCUCUGCCUGUCCACCAGGUUCCUUUCUCAUAUUCAGUACUUGUGAUAGUCAUUUUAACUGUUUUAAUAGACAAUAAAAAUUGUACAAAGACUCUGAUCCAGUAAAGUGACUUGGCAUGCACAUAGCUUUAAGUGCUCUAGUACUGUUGACUCCAACAGGAUUACCAAUAUACUUAAAAUUAACCACACAUUUAAGUACUUUCCUGGAUCAAGGCCAUCAUCACAUUGACAUUGACCAAAACAAAACAGCAUCUGAGAUUCAGCAACAUAAAUACAUAGCAACCUCAACCAAACUCGGUGCUGUAACCUUCAGGUUACCUUUCUUCAGUGCCUUCUGUCAUUGCUAGCUAUGUUAUGGCUACACUUAAAAUCCAUUCUGCAAGCAUAUACUGGAAGCAGUGCUUAGGAACAAUCCUGUUUAAGCCAAUGCUUUCUUAUGGUUUUAGAAUUUGCCUGGCCUGUUUUGCUAGAUCAGGCUCUUGGACGAUAAGGUCCUCAGGGCAAGAAUCAUGUUUAUUUUUCUACCUGAAUCAUAUGUGUUCAUAUACCACAAACUAGCAAUUAGUAACUUUUUGUUCUGAGGUACAAGGAAGAAGACUUUCUACAUACUGCAGAUGUCCUGGCUUGUGCAGUUGUAAGUGAAAAAGUAAGACAGAUAAAAAUGUCAAAAGUCUUAUCACUGGCACUUUACCGUAACCCUAAACAUGCAAAAAAAUGAAAUUAAAACCUUCCCUCUUGAAUUCUGCCCCCUCACCUUCUUUUGCUGACCUUCUGCCUCCAUUACCUUUUCUCUUUUAUUCUCUGUUGAUUACUUCACUGAUUUACACUUCAGUUUAUAAGCCCCAUAUGCUAGAAGCUUUGUCCUUUGCUAAUCAUAAAAUAAGAUUAUGCAUACCUUGGGCACUGUACAAAUCAUUAUUGUCUUCCUACAAAUGUCUUCCACAUGGCCUCACCCUCAGUUCCAGCUGAGAAUGCUGUUGUGAACAAGCUCAAAGAAUAAAUAUUUUGCAUUCAUUUCACUAGCACAAUGGAAACAUUUUUCCAAGCUGCUGCCAAGAUGGUAUCUAGUCCUCUUCUGAGUCAGCAGCCCAUGCAGCUGACUUUCAAACGGCCAUACUUGCUUGAUAGUAAUCUUAAAAGAAAAAAAAAAAAAAAACAAAAAAAAAAACCAGACACAAGCUGUAUUUGUAAAGAGCUGUAUUGCUCUCCUUGUGAACAAGCAGGUAGUGACACUAUAAAAUACGAAAGAUGGGGGAAAGAAGCCAUACAGAAGUGAGUGUUGUUUGUGAUGUCCCAUUUAUUUCUCCUAACUUUAACAGGCUAUUUCAUCCAGUCAGAGGAAGGGACAGGGGAGUGGUGUGAAGAAGUGGGAAAGGAAUAUCACUGCUUUAUGUAGUUAAUUUCCUUUCUGUAUCAACCAGCUUUUUACAUCCUUUAAAGUGCUGUUGGCCAUUAAAGACAGUGUAUGUAAAAAUACAGUGUAGACGAAACCAGGCUAAUAAAGAUGAAGACGGAGAGGAAUUCAUAGAGUUCCCUUCCAUAAGCAUGUUUUUCUUAUUCUUAGCUGUAUUUUCCCUCUGGUCCAAUACAUAAGCAGGCAUGGUGCAACAGAACUUGUUCAAAACUGUGCAUCUCUCCUCCAUUCUCAUGGAAAGACUUUGGUCUGUAAUCCCUACUGCUUUGUGAAUAAACAGCCUAAAUAGUAAAUAUUUUUUGUGUUCCAAAAUUGCCCAGAUAAAACUGGUAAGGAACUGUCACCAAUCCUAUAUUAAGCUGCAGCUUUACAUUAAAUCAGAGAGUAUGUAUCUGGCUUCUAAUGGCUGACAGAGCUCACUCUAAAGUGAAAUUCUGAUCUUCUGGCAAAAUAACAGGAUGUUUAUUAAAUUAACAAGUCUAAAAUUCAGAAAUAAACUGUGCCAUGAGAAAUAAGUUCAACGGGUAAAAACAAGCUGUCAAUCUUAAAGCACCCUUUUACAUCAUAUUACUUAUUCAAAAUAUAUCUAUUUAUAUAGACAGAUGAGGCCAGAUCCUUAGGUUUAGCCUUUUUAUACCGGGACUUAGGGUGAUAAAAGUAACUUAGCUUUAAGCCACUAACUGUCUUCAGGAUGCUGGGGUCAUGAUUUUGGUACCAAUGUGUAUCUUAAAAAAGACUCAGAAAUGCUCUAGUUUUAAUUGCCUUAGCUACUUAUAGCCUUAUGAGAGCUGUCAGAGCAGCUGGGAAUUGAUUGGACUCAGCAUUCUGGCUAUUCAUCCUUCCCACCUAGCCCUUAUCCUUUUGAUCUAGGACUAGGAGGAACAGGAAUUGUAGGACUUAUGCCAUUAAAAUAAAGUAUCCACUGAGUGAAUCCAUAGAUAGUUGAUUAAAUUAUCUCUGUGGCUGCAGAAAAAGCCACAAGCUGACAUAGACACACAUUUCCUUAGGGCAGAAAAAAUCAUCUUUAUGCGUUACAAUUUCUCUGCAUCUUAAGAUUGAUUGCCAUGAAUCUGAACACUGCAACCAGGAUACAAACACAUUAGGAAAUCAGUGUUUCAGAAGGAUGUGACUGGGCAUUUUUUCUCUAGACCAAAUAAGUAGCUUUAAAAAAAAGCAAAUGAACUGGUACAAAAUGGGUAGUAAGAUGUUUGUUGCAUAUUUUAAAUACUAAAAGGGGAGGAAAAUACCAAAUGUGAUACAAAAGAUACAACUAAUAGGGAAAAGGUGAAGUGGGAAAACAGAAUAUUAAUAAAAUGGGAGCUGUAUUUAAAAAGAAAUAGUGUGGUAUAGCUGAAGCUUUCUAUUUUUGUAAUGUUUGGUUCCAGGUGAGUUUAGUGGUUCAUUUCUUGUUUAUAUCUCACGAUCUCACUAUGGACUUUUCAACCACAUGAAAUAAUUCUCCUGUGAGCCUAUAUUCAGUUCAGUGGAGCUACCAUGAUGCUCUGUUAAAGAAGACUGAAAUCAAGUCAGGUGGACUCAAAACAUUUUCUCAUUAAUAUUGUACGUAAUUGUUACAUAGUUCAUCAAAAAGUUAUUAAUUUACUAGGUUUGCAGUGGAUUAGUUACCUGCCAACUGUUGGACAAAUAUAUACCAUUUUUAAAUUAAACACACUUUCACAUGGAUAGCAACAGUUCCAGCAAAGGAGAAACGUUUAAACAACGACAGCUUGUUACAGCCCAUAGGAUCUAUUAGAGAACAGAAUCAUCUCCCAGAAGGAGUGCUGGUAUUAAGGCACUUAAAACUAGCCUGGACACACCACCACUGCAAGAGCUUUCUUCACUGGUAGAUGACAGCCUUUCUGGCUCUAAUUUCUGUCAUCAGUUUACUGUGGUGUAAAUCAAAGCUGAAUCACAGUAAUGUCUUGGCACUCUAAUAUAUUGCCUUAAACCACAUGAAUGCUGAAAUAGGGAGUUCUUGUACAUUUGCAGACUGGAUUCCUUUUUCCCAGCCUGUGCUUUUUUUUUUUUUUUUUUUUUUUUAAGGACAU
Molecule: long non-coding RNA, 5260 nt
Organism: Tyto alba (common barn owl)
Lineage: Eukaryota; Metazoa; Chordata; Aves; Strigiformes; Tytonidae
Exons: 2
Source: RefSeq, a predicted model, not a curated record